GUCCCCGUAGCUCAGCAGGAUAGAGCAACAGAUUCCUAAUCUGUAGGUCGCACGUUCGAAUCGUGUCGGGGACG
This 74-nucleotide transfer RNA is filed under the name Calditerrivibrio nitroreducens. RNAcentral describes it as "tRNA-Arg". It matches the Rfam family "tRNA". Rfam says of the family: Transfer RNA (tRNA) molecules are approximately 80 nucleotides in length. Their secondary structure includes four short double-helical elements and three loops (D, anti-codon, and T loops). Further hydrogen bonds mediate the characteristic L-shaped molecular structure. tRNAs have two regions of fundamental functional importance: the anti-codon, which is responsible for specific mRNA codon recognition, and the 3' end, to which the tRNAs corresponding amino acid is attached (by aminoacyl-tRNA synthetases). tRNAs cope with the degeneracy of the genetic code in two manners: having more than one tRNA (with a specific anti-codon) for a particular amino acid; and 'wobble' base-pairing, i.e. permitting non-standard base-pairing at the 3rd anti-codon position. The record is from RNAcentral. RNAcentral also lists the same sequence under 4 other names. Lineage: Bacteria; Pseudomonadati; Deferribacterota; Deferribacteres; Deferribacterales; Calditerrivibrionaceae.